This 497-nucleotide ribosomal RNA is filed under the name uncultured bacterium. RNAcentral describes it as "partial 16S ribosomal RNA". It matches the Rfam family "Bacterial small subunit ribosomal RNA", at positions 28 to 507 of the family's 1533-position model. The record is from RNAcentral.
GAUGAACGCUGGCGGCGUGCCUAAUACAUGCAAGUCGAGCGAACAGAUGAGGAGCUUGCUCCUCUGACGUUAGCGGCGGACGGGUGAGUAACACGUGGAUAACCUACCUAUAAGACUGGGAUAACUUCGGGAAACCGGAGCCAAUACCGGAUAAUAUAUUGAACCGCAUGGUUCAAUAGUGAAAGACGGUUUUGCUGUCACUUAUAGAUGGAUCCGCGCCGCAUUAGCUAGUUGGUAAGGUAACGGCUUACCAAGGCAACGAUGCGUAGCCGACCUGAGAGGGAGAUCGGCCACACUGGAACUGAGACACGGUCCAGACUCCUACGGGAGGCAGCAGUAGGGAAUCUUCCGCAAUGGGCGAAAGCCUGACGGAGCAACGCCGCGUGAGUGAUGAAGGUCUUCGGAUCGUAAAACUCUGUUAUUAGGGAAGAACAAAUGUGUAAGUAACUAUGCACGUCUUGACGGUACCUAAUCAGAAAGCCACGGCUAACUACGUG